AAGUGGAGCAAUCCAUGAGUAAAGUGGCGCACGGGUGAGUAACACGUGACUAACCUACCCUCGAGUGGGGAAUAACCUCGGGAAACCGGGGCUAAUACCGCAUAACAUCGCAAGAUCAAAGCAGUAAUGCGCUUGAGGAGGGGGUCGCGGCUGAUUAGCUAGUUGGUAAGGUAAUGGCUUACCAAGGCGAAGAUCGGUAUCCGGCCUGAGAGGGCGCACGGACACACUGGAACUGAAACACGGUCCAGACUCCUACGGGAGGCAGCAGUGGGGAAUUUUGCGCAAUGGGGGAAACCCUGACGCAGCAACGCCGCGUGGAGGAUGAAGCCCUUUGGG
This 336-nucleotide ribosomal RNA is filed under the name uncultured bacterium. RNAcentral describes it as "bacterial SSU rRNA". It matches the Rfam family "Bacterial small subunit ribosomal RNA", at positions 72 to 422 of the family's 1533-position model. The record is from RNAcentral.